CAGCCGCCGCGGUAAUACUAGGCGGUCAAGUCGCAGCCAUUUUUAUUGGGUCUAAAACAUCCGUAGCUUGCUAUGUAAGUCUCUUGUGAAAUUUUGUAUCUCAAAUACAGAGCGUGCAAGAGUACUGCAAAGCUAGAGACCGGGAGACGUAAAAAGUACGUUCAAAGUAGCGGUAAAAUGUUUUAAUCUUGAACGGACUCACAAUAGCGAAGGCAUUUUACGAGAACGGUUCUGACAGUCAGGGAUGAAGGCUAGGGUCGCGAAACAGAUUAGAUACCUGUGUAGUCCUAGCAGUAAACACUGCACACUAAACAUCAGUUCCUCCUCGAGAGGCAUUGGUGCUGUAGGGAAGCCGUAGAGUGUGCUACCUGGGAAGUAUAGUCGCAAGGCCGAAACUUAAAGGAAUUGGCGGGGAGACACUACAACGGGUGACGCGUGCGGUUCAAUCAGAUUAUACACCGUGAACCUCACCAGGACCGACAGCAGAAUGAAAGUCAGUCUAAAGGGCUUACCUGACACGCUGAGAGGAGUUGCAUGGCCGACGUCAGCCUGUGUCGUGAGAUGACCUGUUAAAUCAGGUAACAGGCAAGACCCACAUGUAUAUUUACUAAUGAACUAUAUACAGAUUGCUUGGUAACAAGGAUGAAAGUGUGGGCUACGUUAGGUGAGUACAGCCCGACAGCCCUGGGCAACACGCGCGCGUCAAUGGCGAAUACAACGAGAUGCGACACCGAGAGGUGAAGCUAAUCUCUUAAAGUUCGUCUCAGUCCAGAUUGAGGUUUGUAACUCAGCCUCAUGACGCUGGAAUCCGUAGUAAUCGUUUGUUAUCAGCGAACGGUGAAUACGUCACUGUCUCUUGCACACACUGCCCGUCAAACCAACCAAGUUUAGUUAUGGUGAAACUUUUCGAAGGAGAACCUUGGCUAGAUGAGGUAGGUUAAGUCGUAACAAGGUAACCGUA
This 961-nucleotide ribosomal RNA is filed under the name uncultured archaeon. Its description in RNAcentral is "bacterial SSU rRNA". It matches the Rfam family "Archaeal small subunit ribosomal RNA", at positions 459 to 1451 of the family's 1478-position model. The record is from RNAcentral.